Molecule: non-coding RNA, 1644 nt
Organism: Hydra vulgaris (swiftwater hydra)
Lineage: Eukaryota; Metazoa; Cnidaria; Hydrozoa; Anthoathecata; Hydridae
Source: RefSeq, a predicted model, not a curated record
GACUGUUAUGUUAGAUUUGCGAUUGAUAAGCUCAAAGUUACUCUCAUCACUUCACAUAAUGUUUUCCCAUUGCUCUAUUGUCAAAUACCUUCUUUCACGACACCAUUUUAGUCUCCUUUGUUUAUCAUAUGGACGUAGAAGCGGUUUCUUCAAAGCAGUGUAGACUCCAAUCUUGUAUUUGAUAAGUAUUCGGCGGACUAUGCUUUGAUUUCGCGUUGUAUUGAAUUCUGUGGUCAAUUCUUUGUAACUAAUUCUUGGAUUAGCUCUGACAGCUCUAAAACGAAAACUGUCGUCCAUUCUGGUCGUUGGCAAGGGUCUACCUGGCCUCGUUUUCUCGCUGGCACCACCAGUGUGAAGAAAGUUUUGUUUCGUUCUCCGAACGCAUUUCUCAGAAAAUCCAAUUAACUUGGCAAUUUCUCUAUUACUUUUGGUUCCUUCUUUGAUGUACCUUGAGUGAUACGUCUUUCGCCCAUUUUUCGCGUCUUUUUAAUGAAAAACUAACAACUUUUGUUUAUUUAUUAAAUAAUGAUUAACUAAUUCCAGGGAUAACUUUGUUGUAUCAACAUGUAAACUAAACAACAAUCAUGAUGUUUCUCAUGACUUGAUUAGAUUGUAUCCAGAACAUCGUUGUCCAUCAGGAAAGCUGGCUGACUACCUUGAUAAUAUGUUAUCCGUUAAUGGAAAUGCUAUUGUUACACAAGUGAUACACAGAGAAGGUUUUGCAGUACGUGUUAAAGAUAUCCAUAAUCGAAUGUAACUCCUUGUAAAAUCAGGUCUGUAUAUUAAGUUUAGUCUUUAAGUAUUACUAUUCCAUUUUCAAUGUUUUAUAUUUAAAAUUGUUUGGAUCAUUAGGUUCAACACUGACUGCAAGGCUGUGAAAUACACUUUCAUUACCAAAUGUUUAUUUCCGGCUCUUAGAAACAGAUGAUCAUCAGUUUUAAGGCUCGUUUUUCCAAACUGAUAGUCAAAGAACAUUAUUCUCCAAAUAUGGAGAAAUGAUUCAGAUGGAUGCCACAUAUAAGAGAAAGACUGUGAUGGUGUUGGACAGCCAAUUGGAUUUGCCAUUAUGACAAGUGAAGAUUAAAUUUACAUUGAUCAGUUUCUGGAAUAUUUUGAAGAAUGCAAUGAUUUAUUACAAACGCAAUGUGUUGCAGAAAUUAUUAUACACAAGAGAUGCUAAAUGCCAAAACUGAAUCAGAGUUUGAUUUAGCCAUCAAUAGUUUAAAACAAGUACCAUGUUUUUACAACUAUAAUGUUGAAAGUUGUAUUCCAUAACAGCUUUUGGUCGCAAAUCCAUCCAUCACCUUAGCAAUCAACAAAUAAUUGUAUAGAGAGCUUCCAUUCUACUUUAAAGAAAUUUAUUGCUUCUUCAAGAAUUAACAUUGAUUUAUUAGUGAAAAAUUUACUUGAGAUGUCAUCUGUCAGAUCAAUGGAAUCUGCUCAUCACGAUUUUAAAAAUACAUUGAUGAAUGCUCUCUACAAAUCUUCUCCUUUAGUAGAGAAGUAUUUUAAGAUAUAUGCUAUUCUUUUAAUUUAUUGCAAAAUGAGGUAGAAAUGGCCUAUAAAUGGCCACCAUGGGUACACUGUUAACAAAGUAAUUUCACUCAUUAACUAGUCAUUAAUUUAUACAUUAUGUUUCUUAUU